This is a long non-coding RNA of Bos taurus (domestic cattle), 1136 nucleotides long. NCBI's taxonomy places the organism in Eukaryota, Metazoa, Chordata, Mammalia, Artiodactyla, Bovidae. The record is from Ensembl.
GUGCUGGGUCUUCGUUGCUGCGCUCAGGCUUUCUCUAGUUGCAGCAAGCAGGGGGCUACUCUUUGAUGUGGUGCUCACGCUUCUCGCGUGGUGGCUUCUCUCGUUGCAGAGCGUGGGCUCUAGAGCACAGGCUCAGUAAUCGUGAUGCACGGGCUUAGCUGCCCUGUGGCAUGUGGAACCUUCCCGACCAGGGAUCAAACCCCUGUCACCUGCAUUGGCAGGCAGAUUCUUAACCACUGAACUACUAGAGAAGUCCAAGAAGCAUUUCUUAAUCACUCUUUAAUUUUGCUCUUCCUCACGGCCUUCACUCCAGGCCAAGCCACAUCCACGGACGCAUUCUCUUCACUCUCUGAAAUCACUUCAAUUACUCAUUGGUUCCCUUAGCCUCUGUCUUCCUGCUCCAGACAUCAGUAUCCUGAGAGCAGGCCUCCACCAUGAUGCUCAUCCAACACACUCAGCCACCUGGAAAGCACCUGGUACCCAGUAAGUGAACCACAAGUAUUAAUCUGGAGCCUCCCUGGGGGGAAAACUCCAGAUUCUUCACUGUUCCUCACUCCCGCCUGCUAUCAGAGGCCUGUUCUGAAAUCUGAUCCUGGGUUGCUACUAAGCACUGUGCAUUGUCCCCCAGGGAAAGGGAGGUUGUGGCAAAGCACCGUGGUUUGAGCUCCCUGAGUCCUACAGCAGAUUCCCACUGGCUGUCUAAUUUACAUAUGAGAAGCUGAAACCGACUCACUUGAUUAUGGAGGCUAAGAAGAGGAGACCCAAGAAAGCCAGUGAUGUAACUCCAGUCCAAGUCUGAAGACCGGAGAACCAGGAGUGCCUAUGGUAUAAGUCCUGAUCCAAGGACAGGAGGAAUAGGAGCACCACAGGCCUUCCCUGGUGGCUCAACUGUACAGAAUCUGAGAAUCCAUCUGCCAACACAGGGUGCUUGGGUUUGACCCCUGGGUCGGGAAGAUAUCCUGGAGAAAGAAAUGGCAACCCACUCCAGUAUUCUUGGCUGGGAAAUCCCAUGGACCGAGGAGCCAGGUGGGCUCCAGCCCUUGGGGUCACAAAGAGUCAGAUACAACUUAGUGACUUAACAACAGCAAGGAGCACCAGAAUUUUGGGCAAGCCAGUUGCAGAAGAUGACACUGGAU